Molecule: ribosomal RNA, 254 nt
Filed under: uncultured Stenotrophomonas sp.
Lineage: Bacteria; Pseudomonadati; Pseudomonadota; Gammaproteobacteria; Lysobacterales; Lysobacteraceae
Description: partial 16S ribosomal RNA
Rfam family: Bacterial small subunit ribosomal RNA
Source: RNAcentral
CGGACGGGUGAGGAAUACAUCGGAAUCUACUCUGUCGUGGGGGAUAACGUAGGGAAACUUACGCUAAUACUGCAUACGACCUACGGGUGAAAGCAGGGGAUCUUCGGACCUUGCGCGAUUGAAUGAGCCGAUGUCGGAUUAGCUAGUUGGCGGGGUAAAGGCCCACCAAGGCGACGAUCCGUAGCUGGUCUGAGAGGAUGAUCAGCCACACUGGAACUGAGACACGGUCCAGACUCCUACGGGAGGCAGCAGCG